GAGGAGCUGUGUGAAAAUGUCUCAGGAUUGACAAGUCACACGAGAGAAGGGAGAAGGCGCCCGAGCAGCCGAGGUGUGUGUCAGUUCCCUUGCACUUCCGGCUUUGCCCAUGGUUUGGAAUGACUGAGAAGUUCCCCACAGACAGCCACAGAGGCGGCAAAGAAGCCAAUGGUGCAGCAUGGAAGAGACUGUUGGUGAAGCUGAGGGGAGGUGCUGUCAACCACACCUGACCGGAGUUGGUUGCUGCAGCGAAGGCUGGAAAAAAGCAGGUUCACCUGAAGACCUUCUCCGUUCCCCCACUGGAAGCUGGAAAGAACCAAGACAGUGUUGGCUUGUGGUGCUACGAAAGGAAAGAGGUGGACCUGAGAAGCAGUGAGCCAUCGAUACGUGGAAAGUUAUGUGCUGGCAGCUGGAAGGCAGAAGAGAUCUAUAAUUUGGAAAACACGCCCCUCCCUGCAGACAGAUAGAGCAGUGGUCACACACAAAGUGGAGGAAAUCUUGCACUCCAGAGAAGAAGAAAUGCUGACAGCAGCUUGAAGAAACACCCGAUUCCCUUGAGGAUCCACAUGAAUGGUUUUCACUAUUUGCCCUACAUUCUCAGAAGACUCUGAGGGACUUCCCUAGCGGUCCAGUGGCUAAGACUCUGAGCUUCCAAUGCAAGGGAUGCCAUUUCGAUCCCUGAUCAGGGAACUAAGAUCCCACAGGGCCGCAUGGCAAAAAAUAAAAGAUGAUCACAGAUCACUCGUUAAAAAUAGAAGACUCUGACCUUAAUUUUGCUCACAUCAUGCGCCUUCACUUGCUCUGAGGUCCUACUGCUGAUAAUCAGUGCUAUGUUGGUGCCUUUCCCAAAUCUCUCUC
This is a long non-coding RNA of Bos taurus (domestic cattle), 858 nucleotides long. NCBI's taxonomy places the organism in Eukaryota, Metazoa, Chordata, Mammalia, Artiodactyla, Bovidae. The record is from Ensembl.